This is a small nuclear RNA of Antechinus flavipes (yellow-footed antechinus), 121 nucleotides long. RefSeq annotates it as U5 spliceosomal RNA. The record is from RefSeq and is a predicted model, not a curated record. The transcript has a single exon. NCBI's taxonomy places the organism in Eukaryota, Metazoa, Chordata, Mammalia, Dasyuromorphia, Dasyuridae.
AUACUUUAGUUUCUCUUCAGAUCAUAUAAAUCUUUUGCCUUUUACUAAAUAUUUCUGUGAAAAGAAACAAUUACAUUGUUGUUGACACAUUAUCAGACAAAGCAAGUCUGAGACCCUGCUU